GAUGAACGCUAGCUACAGGCUUAACACAUGCAAGUCGCGGGGCAGCAUGGGGGUUGCUUGCAAUCCCCGAUGGCGACCGGCGCACGGGUGAGUAACGCGUAUCCAACCUGCCCUUCACCACGGGAUAACCCGGCGAAAGUCGGACUAAUACCGUAUGUUGUCCAUUGACGGCAUCCGAUUUGGACGAAAGGCUUGGCGGUGAGGGAUGGGGAUGCGUCCGAUUAGCCAGACGGCGGGGUAACGGCCCACCGUGGCUACGAUCGGUAGGGGUUCUGAGAGGAAGGUCCCCCACACUGGAACUGAGACACGGUCCAGACUCCUACGGGAGGCAGCAGUGAGGAAUAUUGGUCAAUGGGCGUAAGCCUGAACCAGCCAAGUAGCGUGCAGGAUGACGGCCCUAUGGGUGGUAAACUGCUUUUAUGCGGGGAUAAAGUGGCCCACGGGUGGGCUUUUGCAGGUACCGCAUGAAUAAGGACCGGCUAAUUCCGUG
Molecule: ribosomal RNA, 490 nt
Filed under: uncultured bacterium
Lineage: Bacteria
Description: partial 16S ribosomal RNA
Rfam family: Bacterial small subunit ribosomal RNA
Source: RNAcentral